GACGAACGCUGGCGGCGUGCCUAAUACAUGCAAGUAGAACGCACAGUUUAUACCGUAGCUUGCUACACCAUAGACUGUGAGUUGCGAACGGGUGAGUAACGCGUAGGUAACCUGCCUGGUAGCGGGGGAUAACUAUUGGAAACGAUAGCUAAUACCGCAUAAUAUUAAUUAUUGCAUGAUAAUUAAUUGAAAGGUGCAAUUGCACCACUACCAGAUGGACCUGCGUUGUAUUAGCUAGUAGGUGAGGUAACGGCUCACCUAGGCGACGAUACAUAGCCGAGCUGGGAGGGUGAUCGGCCACACUGGGACUGGGACACGGCCCAGACUCCUACGGGAGGCAGCAGUAGGGAAUCUUCGGCAAUGGACGAAAGUCUGACCGAGCAACGCCGCGUGAGUGAAGAAGGUUUUCGGAUCGUAAAGCUCUGUUGUAAGAGAAGAACGGGUGUGAGAGUGGAAAGUUCACACUGUGACGGUAUCUUACCAGAAAGGGACGGCUAACUACGUG
This 505-nucleotide ribosomal RNA is filed under the name uncultured bacterium. Its description in RNAcentral is "partial 16S ribosomal RNA". It matches the Rfam family "Bacterial small subunit ribosomal RNA", at positions 28 to 507 of the family's 1533-position model. The record is from RNAcentral.